UUUAAUUAUGUUAUUUUUUAGUUAUUUUUGCAUAAUAUUCUAGGAACAAAAAAUUAUUAUUUUUAAUAGAUCUAAUUUAAGUUCAGGUGUUUAGUUAGUUACAAUAAAAAAAGUAAUUUGAUCUAAAAGUAGAAAUUGUGAUGGAUCUGAUAACAGUUUUUUAUAUAUAAGGGUGUAUCUUAUUGGUUUUUUUAAUUUUAUUAAAUCUUUUUUUAGGUUAACAAAGAGUCUUGAAAUUAGUAACUUUAAAUUAAAUAAGUGUUUUUAUCAAAUAAUUUUUUUUAAUUAGAAGUCUAGCUAAAUGUUUCUUUAAAUCUGUGGUGAUUUGAUUUAAUGAUCUGCUUCUGCCCGGUGGCUUUCGUUAAACGGCGUCUCAAACCUACGGGAUCUAAGGUAGCGCUAUAGGUCGUUCUUUUAUUGGGUUCUUUGUAUGAAUGUGGAAUCUGGUUGGUAUUCUGAUUUUAUUAAGGUGAAUUUUCAAAAGGGUUAAUAAGAUACUCUUUUUUUUAAAACCAAGAUAAGUCUUCGGAAACUUAAUUCCUUCCUCUCAGUAUUUGAAAAUUAUGGAGAGGUAUUUUCUUGGGGUAAGAAUAUGAGAAAAUAAAGUUUUUAUCUUUACUUAUAGAAGUUUCUUCGGAGUUAGCAGUGAAGUAACUAUAUUGGAUUAGUUCUCUUUUUAACCUUCAACAUCGAUGUUGUCUUAGUUACAGAAAAAAAUAGAAGCUUUUUUUACAAAGACUGUUCUUCUUUAGCUGUAUUACGUGAGAUUAGUUUAACUCGCCUAGAGGUAGGGUGGUUUAUCUGGUUUAAAUUUUUUUUGGUGCCCCUGUACGAAAGGAGAGGGAACUUGGCUUUGCUUAUGUAAUAGAUUGCUAUAAAGUAUUAAUUUUGUUUU
This 895-nucleotide ribosomal RNA is filed under the name Pratylenchus vulnus (walnut meadow nematode). RNAcentral's name for it is "16S ribosomal RNA". The record is from RNAcentral. Lineage: Eukaryota; Metazoa; Nematoda; Chromadorea; Rhabditida; Pratylenchidae.